Molecule: ribosomal RNA, 548 nt
Filed under: uncultured bacterium
Lineage: Bacteria
Description: bacterial SSU rRNA
Rfam family: Bacterial small subunit ribosomal RNA
Source: RNAcentral
UAGGGAAUCUUCCGCAAUGGGCGAAAGCCUGACGGAGCAACGCCGCGUGAGUGAAGAAGGAUUUCGGUUCGUAAAGCUCUGUUGUUAGGGAAGAAUGAUUGUGUAGUAACUAUACACAGUAGAGACGGUACCUAACCAGAAAGCCACGGCUAACUACGUGCCAGCAGCCGCGGUAAUACGUAGGUGGCAAGCGUUGUCCGGAAUUAUUGGGCGUAAAGCGCGCGCAGGUGGUUUAAUAAGUCUGAUGUGAAAGCCCACGGCUCAACCGUGGAGGGUCAUUGGAAACCGUUAAACUUGAGUGCAGGAGAGAAAAGUGGAAUUCCUAGUGUAGCGGUGAAAUGCGUAGAGAUUAGGAGGAACACCAGUGGCGAAGGCGGCUUUUUGGCCUGUAACUGACACUGAGGCGCGAAAGCGUGGGGAGCAAACAGGAUUAGAUACCCUGGUAGUCCACGCCGUAAACGAUGAGUGCUAAGUGUUGGUCUCAUAAGAGAUCAGUGCUGCAGCUAACGCAUUAAGCACUCCGCCUGGGGAGUACGACCGCAAGGUUG